UGCCCAGAAACUCCUAUCCCUACCUCCGCGUUGUACUGGUCGGAAACUACGGUCAACGUCCGAGUGCCAGGGAAGG
Non-coding RNA from Aedes albopictus (Asian tiger mosquito), 76 nucleotides. The record is from Rfam. Lineage: Eukaryota; Metazoa; Arthropoda; Insecta; Diptera; Culicidae.